CAAUAGCGUAUAUUUAAGUUGUUGCAGUUAAAAAGCUCGUAGUUGGAUUUCGGAUGGGACUUGCCGGUCCGUCGUUUCGAUGUGCACUGGCCAGUCCUAUCUUGUUGUCGGGGACUAGCUCCUGGGCUUCACUGUCCGGGACUAGGAGCUGACGAGGUUACUUUGAGUAAAUUAGAGUGUUCAAAGCAAGCCUACGCUCUGAAUACAUUAGCAUGGAAUAACACGAUAGGACUCUGGCUUAUCUUGUUGGUCUGUGAGACCAGAGUAAUGAUUAAGAGGGACAGUCGGGGGCAUUCGUAUUUCAUUGUCAGAGGUGAAAUUCUUGGAUUUAUGAAAGGCGAACUUCUGCGAAAGCAUUUGUCAAGGAUGUUUUCAUUAA
RNAcentral lists this ribosomal RNA (379 nucleotides) under uncultured eukaryote. Its description in RNAcentral is "partial 18S ribosomal RNA". It matches the Rfam family "Eukaryotic small subunit ribosomal RNA", at positions 592 to 976 of the family's 1831-position model. The record is from RNAcentral.